RNAcentral lists this ribosomal RNA (433 nucleotides) under uncultured bacterium. RNAcentral describes it as "partial 16S ribosomal RNA". It matches the Rfam family "Bacterial small subunit ribosomal RNA", at positions 29 to 507 of the family's 1533-position model. The record is from RNAcentral.
AACGAACGCUGGCGGCAUGCCUAACACAUGCAAGUCGAACGAAACCUUCGUGUCUAUUUGCGCACGUGUGCGUAACGCGUGGGAACCUGCCCUUAGGUUCCGAAUAACUCCCCGUAAGGUGUGCUAAUACCGGUUAAUGUCUUCGGACCAAAGAUUUAUCGCCUUUUGAUGGGCCCGCGUUGGAUUAGCUAGUUGGUAGGGUAAAAGCCUACCAAGGCGACGUUCCUUAGCUGGUCGGAGAGGAUGAUCAGCCACAAUGGGAAUGAGACACGGCCCAGACCCGUACGGGAGGCAGGAGUGGGGAAUAUUAGAGAAGGGGAGAAAGCCUGACAAAGCAAUGCCGGGUGAGAGAUGAAGGCGGUAGGGUUGUAAAGCUCUUUUAGCCGGGAUGAGAAUGACAGUAACGGGAGAAUAAGCUCCGGCUAACUACGUG